RNAcentral lists this ribosomal RNA (253 nucleotides) under uncultured bacterium. Its description in RNAcentral is "partial 16S ribosomal RNA". It matches the Rfam family "Bacterial small subunit ribosomal RNA", at positions 524 to 776 of the family's 1533-position model. The record is from RNAcentral.
UACGAAGGGGGCUAGCGUUGCUCGGAAUUACUGGGCGUAAAGGGCGCGUAGGCGGACUGUUUAGUCAGAGGUGAAAGCCCAGGGCUCAACCUUGGAAUUGCCUUUGAUACUGGCAGUCUUGAGUACGGGAGAGGUGUGUGGAACUCCGAGUGUAGAGGUGAAAUUCGUAGAUAUUCGGAAGAACACCAGUGGCGAAGGCGACACACUGGCCCGUUACUGACGCUGAGGCGCGAAAGCGUGGGGAGCAAACAGG